Carlito syrichta (Philippine tarsier) is the source of this 82-nucleotide small nucleolar RNA. Its record names the gene SNORD115. It matches the Rfam family "Small nucleolar RNA SNORD115". From Rfam's summary of the family: HBII-52 is a member of the C/D class of snoRNAs, which contain the C (UGAUGA) and D (CUGA) box motifs. Lineage: Eukaryota; Metazoa; Chordata; Mammalia; Primates; Tarsiidae. The record is from Ensembl.
GGGUCAAUAAUGAGAACUUUAUAUUGUCUAGAACAGAGGUGGUGACUUAAAAAUCAUGCUCAAUAGGAUUACGAUGAGGGCC